AUGGCCAUUUCUCUGCUGCCUUACACCGCCUCGGCUCUGCUUGCCAUCAUCAUCGCCGUCGCCAUCGCUGUUGCCCCUGCAGUUGUCCGGUCGGACCCAGAGCCUGGGCCCAGCAUUGAAGCCAUCAACGCCACAUGCGCGACUGCUUCGUACAAAUUUGAGUGCACCCAUCUGCUACUAAACAACCUGGAUGCCAGGACGCCUCAAGUGAAGGAUGUGAUCGCAAUGUCAGUCCAAGUCGUCGCCAAGAAGGCGGCGGAGGCGGCCGCAUUCGCCAAGGCCAUCAAGAAACCCUCCAAGUGCGUCACCGACUGCCUCGACGACCUCGCCGUACUAUCCAAGCACAUCAAGACGCUCCCGGCGACGCUCGAAACCGCCAACGACGCGGGCUUCUUUGAGCAAUUUGACAAAAAGAGGAAAUGUUACGGAGAUUGUUGCUCGGACAACUCCUCGGUCAAGGAAUGCAACGCACAGAGCCAAAUCGGUGGGGUGUUUGACGCUCUUCGUGUCACUGAUGACCUGUUGAUGAGGAGGGCGUAUUUUAGGAAGCAGCAGCUUGACAACAAAACAACAUCACCUAACUCUAACUGA
RNAcentral lists this ribosomal RNA (591 nucleotides) under Triticum aestivum (bread wheat). RNAcentral's name for it is "partial small subunit ribosomal RNA". Lineage: Eukaryota; Viridiplantae; Streptophyta; Magnoliopsida; Poales; Poaceae. The record is from RNAcentral.